GAGCAGAAAUUUGCACAUGGUUUAAUUGUCUUUUUAGACCUUAAGAUCACAGGCAAAGAAAACAACAAUUACAUAAAAAGUCUGUUCUCUCGUAUUGUGGGACCCUCCAGAACUUCUAGCUCACAUUGUAAUUAAAAAACAACAGAAAAGCACUUGUCCUUGCCCAUACUCAUCACAACUUUAGAUAGCUUAGAUUUGUUUAUCGAUAUCUAUUUUGUGGUGAAAAUAUAGUCAUAUAUUCAAUAAAUUAGAAUUUGCGUUCCAAUUAGGCCCGUUUGUCAGAUUAAACGUACCUUUUACAAUUAAAAAUAUUUAAGCAGAUAAUAAAUAUACCUACCUUUCAUUAAGCCCACAUUUCUGUAAUACCUUUUUAUUGGUCUGAUGUAAUAUUCUAAUCUCAAAUGUUGUGCUUUCAUUGGCUGUAAGGAAAUCAUCACAAUAAACAGAAGUAAAGGUUUGAAAAAAAUCGCUCUGUGUAAUUAAUUUAUAUAAUGCGUUUCACGUUGAGAACUGAUUUAUUGAAUGUGAUGUACCUUAAAACAGCGCCCCCUACAGUCACAUUAUACAAAAUCAAUUCCCCUGCGAGUUUCGAGGGAAAUUGAUUGCAAAUAAAGAAGUCAGAUCCGCUGAGCCGGAGGACUGGGUUGUCCGUGAAGACCACCCCAAUUUAUGCUGUUAGUGAUGCUGACUGCAGCCCGGUAACCUGUGACGAAAAGGUUUAAAGAACAGCAAAAGUCUUCAAAUGUCUCGACUACUUUCAUGCCACAAACGAGCCUGUUGUUGGACGUUGCAAGGGACAACCACAUCUGGGACACUGAGAGUGAUCCCUGCAGGGUCGCGGGGGAGUGGGUGCCUAUCUCCAGCUGUCAUUGGGCGAGGGUCGGGGGGCACCCUGGACAGGUCGCUAGUCCAUCACAUGACAACACAGAGACACACAGGAGGUAGCUGGAGUACCCAGAGAGAACCCACGAAUGCAGAGGGAGAACUCUGUGCAGCGUGAACCCAGGACCUUCACGCUAACAACUGUGCCACCAUGCAGCACACGUAUGAAAAAUAAAAGUAUAAUAAAUA
Long non-coding RNA from Girardinichthys multiradiatus, 1071 nucleotides. RefSeq lists it as uncharacterized. Lineage: Eukaryota; Metazoa; Chordata; Actinopteri; Cyprinodontiformes; Goodeidae. The transcript is spliced from 3 exons. The record is from RefSeq and is a predicted model, not a curated record.